This 62-nucleotide small nucleolar RNA is filed under the name Drosophila persimilis. Its description in RNAcentral is "snoRNA:GL27985". It matches the Rfam family "Small nucleolar RNA CD11", at positions 6 to 67 of the family's 75-position model. Rfam says of the family: CD11 is a member of the C/D class of snoRNA which contain the C (UGAUGA) and D (CUGA) box motifs. Most of the members of the box C/D family function in directing site-specific 2'-O-methylation of substrate RNAs. The record is from RNAcentral. Lineage: Eukaryota; Metazoa; Arthropoda; Insecta; Diptera; Drosophilidae.
AUACCAUGAUGAAUGAUUUAGCAGAAGAGUUCUUGAAGACUAUAUUCAUCACCCAAUCCUGA